This 1241-nucleotide ribosomal RNA is filed under the name metagenome. RNAcentral's name for it is "bacterial LSU rRNA". It matches the Rfam family "Bacterial large subunit ribosomal RNA", at positions 1564 to 2814 of the family's 2925-position model. The record is from RNAcentral.
UGAAUACGAGACGCUAAGGCGUUGAAGUAGUGUAUGUCAUACUUCCAAGAAAAGCUUGCACUGUCAUAGAUAAAAAACGCCUGUACCAUAACCGACACAGGUGGGUAGGUAGAGUAUACUAAGGGGCGCGAGAUAACUCUCUCUAAGGAACCCGGCAAAAUAACUCCGUAACUUCGGGAGAAGGAGUGCCUUAUUUAUAAGGCUGCAAUAACAAGAUCCAAGCAACUGUUUAUCAAAAACACAGGUCUCCGCUAAGUCGUAAGACGAUGUAUGGGGGCUGACGCCUGCCCAGUGCCAGAAGGUUAAAGAAGUUGGUUAGCAAUAGCGAAGCUGAUAACUGAAGCCCUGGUGAACGGCGGCCGUAACGAUAACGGUCCUAAGGUAGCGAAAUUCCUUGUCGGGUAAGUUCCGACUCGCACGAAAGGCGUAAUGAUUUGGAUACUGUCUCGGAGAGGGGCUCGGUGAAAUAGACUUGUCUGUGAAGAUGCGGACUACCUGCACCAGGACAGAAAGACCCUAUGAAGCUUUACUGUAACUUGAAAUUGAAAUUGGACUUUAUUCGCGCAGUAUAGGUGGGAGGCGUUGAUUGUAAUCUUGCGGGAUUAUUGGAGCCAUCAGUGAGAUACCACCCUUGUAAUGUUAGAUUUCUAACUUUGAAUCAUUAUCUGGUCAAAGAACAGUUUCAGGCGGGCAGUUUGACUGGGGCGGUCGCCUCCUAAACGGUAACGGAGGCGUACAAAGGUUUCCUCUGAACGGUUAGAAAUCGUAUCUAGAGUGUAAAGGCAUAAGGAAGCUUGACUGUGAGACCUACAAGUCGAGCAGGGACGAAAGUCGGUCUUAGUGAUCUGACGGUACUGAGUGGAAAGGCCGUCACUCAACGGAUAAAAGUUACUCUAGGGAUAACAGGCUGAUCUCCCCCAAGAGUUCACAUCGACGGGGAGGUUUGGCACCUCGAUGUCGGCUCAUCGCAUCCUGGGGCGGUAGUACGUCCCAAGGGUUGGGCUGUUCGCCCAUGAAAGCGGUACGCGAGCUGGGUUCAGAACGUCGUGAGACAGUUCGGUCCAUAUCCGGUGUAGGCGUUAGAAUAUUGAGAGGAGCCUUCUUUAGUACGAGAGGACCGAGAAGGACAUACCUCUGGUGUACCAGUUAUCGUGCCAACGGUAAACGCUGGGUAGCUAUGUAUGGAGUGGAUAACCGCUGAAAGCAUCUAAGUGGGAAGCCCACCUCAAGAUAAGUAUUCC